CCGGUGAUCUAGCCAUGGGCAGGUUGAAGGUUGGGUAACACUAACUGGAGGACCGAACCGACUAAUGUUGAAAAAUUAGCGGAUGACUUGUGGCUGGGGGUGAAAGGCCAAUCAAACCGGGAGAUAGCUGGUUCUCCCCGAAAGCUAUUUAGGUAGCGCCUCGUGAAUUCAUCUUCGGGGGUAGAGCACUGUUUCGGCUAGGGGGUCAUCCCGACUUACCAACCCGAUGCAAACUACGAAUACCGAAGAAUGUUAUCACGGGAGACACACGGCGGGUGCUAACGUCCGUCGUGAAGAGGGAAACAACCCAGACCGCCAGCUAAGGUCCCAAAGUCAUGGUUAAGUGGGAAACGAUGUGGGAAGGCACAGACAGCCAGGAUG
Molecule: ribosomal RNA, 381 nt
Filed under: Mycobacterium tuberculosis
Lineage: Bacteria; Bacillati; Actinomycetota; Actinomycetes; Mycobacteriales; Mycobacteriaceae
Description: partial 23S ribosomal RNA
Rfam family: Bacterial large subunit ribosomal RNA
Source: RNAcentral